GACGAACGCUGGCGGCGUGCUUAACACAUGCAAGUCGAACGGAAAGGCCCUGCUUUUGUGGGGUGCUCGAGUGGCGAACGGGUGAGUAACACGUGAGUAACCUGCCCUUGACUUUGGGAUAACUUCAGGAAACUGGGGCUAAUACCGGAUAGGAGCUCCCGCUGCAUGGUGGGGGUUGGAAAGUUUCGGCGGGUGGGGAUGGACUCGCGGCUUAUCAGCUUGUUGGUGGGGUAGUGGCUUACCAAGGCUUUGACGGGUAGCCGGCCUGGGAGGGUGACCGGCCACAUUGGGACUGAGAUACGGACCAGACGCCUACGGGAGGCAACAGUGGGGAAUAUUGCACAGUGGGCGGAAGCCUGAGGCGGCAACGCCGCGUGCGGGAUGACGGCCUUUGGGUUGUAAACCGCUUUCGCCUGUGACGAAGCGGGAGUGACGGUAAUGGGUAAAGAAGCACCGGCUAACUACGUG
RNAcentral lists this ribosomal RNA (468 nucleotides) under uncultured bacterium. Its description in RNAcentral is "partial 16S ribosomal RNA". It matches the Rfam family "Bacterial small subunit ribosomal RNA", at positions 28 to 507 of the family's 1533-position model. The record is from RNAcentral.